CAGAGCGAAGCCACGCCCAGGGGCGCGACCUUAAUGGCGGCAGCCGAGCAUAACUGGCGCACCGUUUGCUAGCAAGAUAUUUGGAGUGCUGAAACUGGCUUACUCUGCACAGCGUCUUAAAGCCUGUGCGUAUUAGCUUGGGCUCCUCUGGCCACUAAAACCAGCUGCUGCUUCAGUGGCCCCGCAUGAGCAUGCACACGCUGGCGGGAAGCAUGGUGGGGGCUGGCUCUCUCUCCUCUCCCGAGAUGGCAGCAGCCUGAGGUGGAGAUUGGUCCCCCCCGCCUAAUUUUCUCUCUGGUUGGCGCUCGGAGGAGAACUCUCUGGGCUCUCUGAGCCGAGUGUCGUCUGGGACACGCAGGUGCAGUUCUCACAGCCAGAGGCGGUGGAGGCGGUAGGGUGUGCGCCAGGCGUGGUGGCGCGGGCUUGUAGUCCCACUUACUGGGUGGGCUGAAUCAAGAGGUGGAGGGCGGCUCCGGAGUCGUGCCACUGCCAGCACCACUGCCAGCACCACUGCCAGCACCGGCGGACUGAACCGGACUCAGGCGAUGCCAUUUGGGGAAGCUGAGGAUUCCCGGGAAGGUGAAUUUUCAUUCUUCUUUGGAAAGUGAACAAGGAAAAGAAUUUUCCUUCAUGCUUUGUCUUCUUCCUACCUGACCCCUCCAGAAUUUGGCAUUCUGAAGUAGUGCUGGCUCCACUGUGGUGUCCAUCACCAGUAUCUUCACCAUCAGUGGUUUGUGCCAUAAAAGGACAUGUGACUAGACCCUGUGAAGUCAAGUUCCAUGUAGUUACUUGUAUAAAACCUAAUUAGAACCAAUGGUGAGAUAGCCCAUUUCUUUUCCAGGUUUACCCAAAACCCCCUUGAGUUUAUCUGUACACUCAUAGAGAAUAUGUAGAGCUGAAAAUGUUCAUAGUUUCAAGUCUAAAAUUUUGGAAGUGCCCAAAAUAGGUGGUCAUUUUAAUGUCUAAAACUUACAUUUUGUGGUUUUUUAAUCUGAAAUACUGAGAUUAAAAUGGACUUGACUCCAAAUGUGUUUGGAAUAAAAAACGUGGAAUUUUUAAAAAGUAGUAAGUUUCAUUUAUGAUACUAUGUAUGAAUAAAUUAACUGUGAAUAAUGUUCUUAAAUGCCACUUUAAAACUUGUGACAUCAUAAAUAAUUAAUAAAGGAUUUUCUUGUUCUAGCUGGUGUGACUCAGCAUAGUGAGCUUUACCCUGUGAACCUGAAGUUCACUGGCACAUACCUGGGAUUCAUGCUGUGUCCCAUUUUGGGAGCACUUGAGAGGCAACAGAUGAAUGAUUCUCUCACACAUUAAUGUUGCUAUCCCUUUUUUUCUCUCUCAAUUCCCCUCUUUCUAGAAGUAA
This is a long non-coding RNA of Artibeus jamaicensis (Jamaican fruit-eating bat), 1360 nucleotides long. RefSeq lists it as uncharacterized. The record is from RefSeq and is a predicted model, not a curated record. NCBI's taxonomy places the organism in Eukaryota, Metazoa, Chordata, Mammalia, Chiroptera, Phyllostomidae. The transcript is spliced from 4 exons.